UUGUUGAUCAUGUGGAUUUAUUCUGCAGCUUAUACAACUGGUGGGAGGGUUUUGGGUCUUCUUCCUUAGUCACAGCGCCCCUGGGUUUCAAUUGUGGUUUUAUUUCCACCUCUGCAUGUGGGUCCUCCACUGAGGUUUGCUCCUGCAGCUGCCCUGGAGGACUUGGCUUUGCCCCUAUGAGGGCCAGGUGUGGAGGUGGUGCAGCUGCUUGGGUCACAAGGGUUCUGGCAGCACCAGGUACUCAGGGGAGUUUGCAGCUAGGGCAGCAGGAAAUAUAGUGCUCUUGAAGGUUAUGGCGAGCAGUAUCAGCCAAUAUGCUCCAGCAUUCUUGCCUGGAGAACCCCUCUCCCUGACAGAGCAGUCUGGCAGGCUACAGGCCACAGGGGUGCAAAGAGCCAGUCGGAUACGACUGAAGCAACCCUGCACGCAUAGAUGCAAGACAUUUUUUUGCCUGUAGCAGCUCUGCCCCAGUGAGAGCUGAGUGUGAAAGUGGUGCAGCUGCUUGGCUUUUGGGGACCCUGGCGGUGCCAAGUGCACAGGACAUGGACUGCCUCCACCACAAGAGUUAUGGCGCCAUCAGAGUCUUUUUUCAAGCCUCUUGUUGCUGUCGAUCAGAAGCCCUCUUUGGCCAGUCUUUCUCUGUAGCUCUGCCGGUUCAGGAGAGUUUCCUUGUCUGGGGUCCGUCUCUGUUUUUCCGCGUGUCAGGCACACAAAGGGGGCCCCCCUGCCUGGGGUCCUACUCUGUAGAUGGGUGCAUCAAGCACUUAAGGGAGCACCCUGGGUGGGGUCCUACUCUGUACUUCAGUGCAUCAGGCAUUUGUCGGGGCAGCCUCUCUAUUGUUCAGCUACCAAUGCUGGCGUGUGGGGAGAGAGUGGCUAUGGUGAUGAUUCCACCCGCUACGGUGACUCAGCAGUAUCGCCUUGCUUCCAUGGCGGCCCGGCUUUCUUCCACAGGCAUUUCCCACCACAAUCUCCUCCCUCACAUCCCUUCAAUCCAUCUCUCCGCAGUCAACAGCAGCCCUCACUCCACAGGAAGUAGGAUUGCUCCACAAUCCCUAAACUCCAGCUCCCAGCUGCUACACCUUCCAGGGGAUCCGCGACUCUGUCCUGGAUAUGCAUGGCUGUGGAAGGACUGAUUCUCAUCCCAUUUAGGCUGCCAC
Molecule: long non-coding RNA, 1160 nt
Organism: Bos taurus (domestic cattle)
Lineage: Eukaryota; Metazoa; Chordata; Mammalia; Artiodactyla; Bovidae
Source: Ensembl